GCCGCCCCACACCGCGGAAGAUGGCGGCGCCGGAGGCGGCGUGGAACCGGCUGGAUGUGCCGUGGCCCGCGAGCAGCGCGACGGUGGCACUGGCGGCCAAACACCCUGCAGUGAGGUGGCUGCCGGCGCUGCGGCGGCGGUGCGACAUCGCCGGCAAGCGGCUGUCGGGGACAGGCCUGGCCGCCGAGGGACGCGUCCUGCGGGCCGUGCUCUACGUCUACCACCACAGGCUGCUCCGGCACCGGUCCUACCUGGCCCUGCAGCAGGUAGAACAAUGCUUGAAGCGCCUAUGGAAAAUGAACUUGCUGGGCUGCAUUGAAACUCUGGCAGAACUGAUUCCCAAGAAAAGUACAUCUCAAGCCCAUGCAGAGUGCUUAGUUCCCAGCCAGCCUGUGCUGGAAACAGUGGCUCUGAAGGUAUUGGGAGGUUGCAAGCUUAUACUGCGUCUACUGGACUGUUGCUGUAAAGCUUUUCUCUUGUCCGUUAAACAUCUCUGCUCGGAAGAAUUCAUACUUUUGAACACUGUGGCUUCAGGGUUGUUGAGCCGGCUAUGGAUUCAGUACAGGUGUGUAUUGCAGAGCCUCAUGUCUUUGUAUGGCAUGUUGUUGACAUCACUUCAUCUGGUAUCUGAGACCCAACAGAUGCCUUAUAUCAAGGGGUUUACCUUCCCUUCUGAUAUCAGUAACUUCCUUGGAGUUAACAUUUCUUAUGAGGUGAAGAAGCAAAAGGCUAGAAUGCUUACAACAAAAAAACCUACCAGCUGGCUGAGGAAGCUCUUCCCAACAAUGCCAGAGGCAGUGUCAGAGGUUGGGAAAACAAGAAAUUCUGUGACCUGCAUGAGUGCUGUGAACAACUGUAGUGUCCCAUGCCCCGUGGACAUCGGAGAGCCAGUUCUGGUGACCAGAGCCAGCAAAGGGAAGCACCUGGGGUUUGAUGUGAAGAGCUUACUUAGGCCAUCCAGACCUCCAACACAAGAGGUUUGUACGGGUAUAAGCAUUGCAUCAACAUCUUUUAAAGCAAAGUCAGCAUCACUUUCCUCCCAUAUAGCAAAAUCGCAGCAUACUGGAUCUCUUGUACAGAUGGUUCAAACAGCUACGUCGUUUGGGGAACUGUCAGAGGCACUCAGAAAAGCUAUUCUGUGGUGCAAAGGCAACAAAUUCAAAUCGGAAGCUUAUUUUCUGCGUAACAAGUUGUUGAAAAGCAACCGGCUACACCAUGUGGAGGCUCAAGGAUGCAGAUCACCUGUGACUCGGGAAAGAACACAUAAACUUUUGCUGAUGCCCAGCUCUGGUCAGGAGAAGCUGAAGAUGAAACUUAACAAUAUAAGGAAACUGAAGAGGAAGAAGGAAAAGGUGCAGCUGAGGUGCAGACACUGGAGAAACAAAAACACACUGGAGAGUAGAAGCCAGAGAUGAAGCACAGAAGGAUCCCAAGGAAUGAAUUCAAAAGAAAUACAAACUGGCUGUGAAUGCAUCAGAUGAGAAGAAAAGGAGGUUAAAGGACUGGCUAUAGCAUAUUGUGGAGAGGGUGGCUUCUUAUAUAGAGGGCCGUAGAGUGACUCUAGGGGACUGUUGCAAGAAUACAGUCAAAAUACUGGCUGCGUAGUGCCAGGGUUAUGGUGACAGACUAGACCAGAUGCCGUAGAGGAAGAAAAAGGAGAAAGUACUGCUGGAAGACGAGAGAGAUGCACAAGGUAAAUUCCUUGUCCAUAGAAGCCUGUACUCAACAUCACUUCUGUACAUGACAGGUGCAGAAGAGGCAAAGCUUUACAAGGUAAUGCUGGCUGCUUGCAGUGUGGUGUAUACCCUGCAAACAAUUUAAGACAUCAAAAGCAUUUAAAACUGAAAUGGUCUCCACUACUUCAGUAUGCUGCCAGUCCUUCCUUUGAUCAAUGAGUGGGGAGAAGGAAAGGGAGAGCUUUUGUGUCCCCGGCCUGGGGAAGUGCAGUUCCUCACUCCACAACAUAGCGUGUUCCUCAGGAACUUGGCAAGAAAGUCUGCUCCUGUGUCAGAUGCCCGUUUAACCAAAGCAUGUUCCCAUGAAGGCACUGAAACAUAAGGUUUAAAGUUUAAGUGAAGGAGAGGACUUGAUUUUAUUUACUACUUUACCUGUCACAGGGGCACUGGUUCUUGCAUGUAACAAAACUGUGUUCCCUCCUGCAGAUGGCUGAGGAAAAUCCAAGAGUAAUUCCAGUGUUGGAAGCAUUUGUGAAUGAAGAUCUUUUGACCAAUAAAGCAGAAAACCCAGGUGUGUCCAGAGGUAAAACUGGUUCUUCAGGGUAAGACUGUACCUGCUGUUUCUAGUACAGCUGUAAAAAACUAUGAUCUAGCUCCACGUGGCUUCCACUAAGGACACCUCGUGGCAACUAUACACACCCCCAAGGAUCAUGGGGUCCAAUUCACAGUCUGCUGCUAUUUCAGAGCACUUUUUAUAUAAAUGGAUUUACCAGACAUAUUUAAUGUAUUUACGUGGUUAAUAAAAGACUUCCCAGCA
Aquila chrysaetos chrysaetos is the source of this 2493-nucleotide RNA transcript. It is a transcript of the gene named nucleolus and neural progenitor protein, with no coding region annotated. The record is from RefSeq and is a predicted model, not a curated record. Lineage: Eukaryota; Metazoa; Chordata; Aves; Accipitriformes; Accipitridae. The transcript has 12 exons.